Molecule: ribosomal RNA, 253 nt
Filed under: uncultured bacterium
Lineage: Bacteria
Description: partial 16S ribosomal RNA
Rfam family: Bacterial small subunit ribosomal RNA
Source: RNAcentral
UACGGAGGGGGCAAGCGUUGUUCGGAAUCAUUGGGCGUAAAGGGCGCGUAGGCGGCCGUCCAAGUCGGGUGUGAAAUCCCUCGGCUCAACCGAGGAACUGCACUCGAUACUGGUUGGCUAGAGUCCGGGAGGGGAUGGUGGAAUUCCCAGUGUAGCGGUGAAAUGCGUAGAUAUUGGGAAGAACACCGGUGGCGAAGGCGGCCAUCUGGACCGGAACUGACGCUGAGGCGCGAAAGCCAGGGGAGCAAACAGG